Molecule: ribosomal RNA, 769 nt
Filed under: uncultured Paracoccaceae bacterium
Lineage: Bacteria; Pseudomonadati; Pseudomonadota; Alphaproteobacteria; Rhodobacterales; Paracoccaceae
Description: bacterial SSU rRNA
Rfam family: Bacterial small subunit ribosomal RNA
Source: RNAcentral
CAGAACGAACGCUGGCGGCAGGCCUAAUACAUGCAAGUCGAGCGCGCCCUUCGGGGUGAGCGGCGGACGGGUGAGUAACGCGUGGGAAUAUGCCCUUCUCUAAGGAAUAGCCUCUGGAAACGGAGAGUAAUACCUUAUACGCCCUUUGGGGGAAAGAUUUAUCGGAGAAGGAUUAGCCCGCGUUAGAUUAGGUAGUUGGUGGGGUAAUGGCCUACCAAGCCUACGAUCUAUAGCUGGUUUGAGAGGAUGAUCAGCCACACUGGGACUGAGACACGGCCCAGACUCCUACGGGAGGCAGCAGUAGGGAAUCUUAGACAAUGGGGGCAACCCUGAUCUAGCCAUGCCGCGUGUGUGAUGAAGGCCCUAGGGUCGUAAAGCACUUUCGCCAGAGAUGAUAAUGACAGUAUCUGGUAAAGAAACCCCGGCUAACUCCGUGCCAGCAGCCGCGGUAAUACGGAGGGGGUUAGCGUUGUUCGGAAUUACUGGGCGUAAAGCGCACGUAGGCGGAUUAGUAAGUUAGAGGUGAAAUCCCAGGGCUCAACCCUGGAACUGCCUUUAAUACUGCUAGUCUUGAGUUCGAGAGAGGUAAGUGGAAUUCCGAGUGUAGAGGUGAAAUUCGUAGAUAUUCGGAGGAACACCAGUGGCGAAGGCGGCUUACUGGCUCGAUACUGACGCUGAGGUGCGAAAGUGUGGGGAGCAAACAGGAUUAGAUACCCUGGUAGUCCACACCGUAAACGAUGAAUGCCAGACGUCAGCAAGUAUACUUGUU